GACGAACGCUGGCGGCGUGCCUAAUACAUGCAAGUUGAGCGAUGAAGAUUGGUGCUUGCACCAAUUUGAAGAGCAGCGAACGGGUGAGUAACGCGUGGGGAAUCUGCCUUUGAGCGGGGGACAACAUUUGGAAACGAAUGCUAAUACCGCAUAACAACUUUAAACAUAAGUUUUAAGUUUGAAAGAUGCAAUUGCAUCACUCAAAGAUGAUCCCGCGUUGUAUUAGCUAGUUGGUGAGGUAAAGGCUCACCAAGGCGAUGAUACAUAGCCGACCUGAGAGGGUGAUCGGCCACAUUGGGACUGAGACACGGCCCAAACUCCUACGGGAGGCAGCAGUAGGGAAUCUUCGGCAAUGGACGAAAGUCUGACCGAGCAACGCCGCGUGGGUGAAGAAGGGUUUCGGAUCGUAAAACUCUGUUGGUAGAGAAGAACGUUGGUGAGAGUGGAAAGCUCAUCAAGUGACGGUAACUACCCAGAAAGGGACGGCUAACUACGUG
RNAcentral lists this ribosomal RNA (497 nucleotides) under uncultured bacterium. RNAcentral's name for it is "partial 16S ribosomal RNA". It matches the Rfam family "Bacterial small subunit ribosomal RNA", at positions 28 to 507 of the family's 1533-position model. The record is from RNAcentral.